RNAcentral lists this ribosomal RNA (367 nucleotides) under Segatella oris. RNAcentral's name for it is "Prevotella oris partial 16S ribosomal RNA". The record is from RNAcentral. Lineage: Bacteria; Pseudomonadati; Bacteroidota; Bacteroidia; Bacteroidales; Prevotellaceae.
UGCUGCCUCCCGUAGGAGUUUGGACCGUGUCUCAGUUCCAAUGUGGGGGACCUUCCUCUCAGAACCCCUACUGAUCGUAGCCUUGGUGGGCCGUUACCCCGCCAACAAGCUAAUCAGACGCAUCCCCAUCCCUGACCGAUGAAAUCUUUAAUCGUCGUUGGAUGCCCGCAGACGAUGCCAUGAGGUAUUAGGCCGACUUUCGACGGGUUAUCCCUCAGUCAGAGGCAGGUUGGAUACGCGUUACUCACCCGUGCGCCGGUCGACGCCCGGGGAAGCAAGCUUCCCCGUCGUUUCCCCUCGACUUGCAUGUGUUAAGCCUGUAGCCAGCGUUCAUCCUGAGCCAGGAUCAAACUCUAAUCGAAUUCCG